CCUGGAACAUUCAGACUGGGUAAUGCCACAAAGGAACAUUCUGGAAAAUAUGUCCUUGAAGAAUACAGAGAUGAUGGACAAAUAAUGAGAAGAGCCCAAGUUCACCUAAAAAUACAAGGGUCCGUGUCAAAGCCAACAGUGUCUCAAAGGUGUUUUCCACCUGAACAGAAGACAGUCACAUGUUAUUCUGAUGAAGAUGAGGUAGAGUUCUUUCUAGCUUUAAAUGGCCACUCACUUAUACAAGGUAGAGAUCACAGGAGUUCCAUGAACUGCAAUGGUGAAACAUCUGCUGUGUCAAAUAUUUGCGUCAACAUGCAUGGACAACUUACGGGAAGCCUCAUGUGCCGAGUUUGGAAUAAUGUCAGCAGAGAGGAUUCAGUUUAUCAGUUAACAUCAUGCAAAGAGAACGCAGAAGAGGAUGUUGUAUAUGCUGAUGUCAAAGUGAAAGAUACAAGUCAAAGUAAAUAAGCCACCCAAUGCAAUGGAAGAUGGCAUUUGCUAAAUGAAAUUAUGCCAUUAGUUAGGAGGACAUAUUCUACUUUGGGCUCCAUAUUUUUUUCUUUU
Molecule: long non-coding RNA, 564 nt
Organism: Cyprinodon tularosa
Lineage: Eukaryota; Metazoa; Chordata; Actinopteri; Cyprinodontiformes; Cyprinodontidae
Exons: 3
Source: RefSeq, a predicted model, not a curated record